This 11504-nucleotide long non-coding RNA is filed under the name Gallus gallus (chicken). RNAcentral describes it as "lncRNA (ENSGALG00010001537.1)". Lineage: Eukaryota; Metazoa; Chordata; Aves; Galliformes; Phasianidae. The record is from RNAcentral.
CCGCCCUCCUGGCUCCGGAACGCGGGGCGCCGCCGCCGCCAUGGGCGCGAUGGGUGGGCGCGGGCUGCGCGUGUGCCUGCCUGGCAUCAGACGGCACUGUGACUCCUCCCGAACUCUGAAAUGCAAAGAUGUUCCAUGGACCGCGGCAUCGCCUUUCCUCCCAGGUCCUUCGUACGUUGCCAGCAGGCCCUCGUGGAAUCAGCACCAUUUGGAAAAUGAGAUGAAAGCUGUUUUAUUCCUCUUGCACAGUAAGGAAUGAGAAAUCCUCUUGCCCCAGUUGGUGUUUCGAUAUAAACUGCAUCGACGGUGGAGCCUCCAUUAUCCAGAUGAUUUUGCAGAAACAAAUGGCCAUGGGCUGUGCAGCCCCUUUGUCACCCACUGCAGAUCUACCACCUCCGAUGGGUUCAUAACAGCAGAGCUGAGGGAGAGGAGUGAGGACAAACGCCGGCACUUGUUUGCAUUGCUGCAGAAUACAAAAGGUAACAGAUACACGUGGGGACUUUUCCUCUUGCCCCCAGACUCCGUGUGCUGUGUCAGCUGUCUGCAGUAAAGCUCUGCGUGGACACAGAAGGCUUUUCUUGUGUUGUGCACUGCAGGACCAGAACUGCAUGUUGCAGCCGCUGCAGGAAAUGUCAGCCAGAGCUUGGGCUACAACAGCUGAGUACCAGGUUUUGCUGACCACCAAAAUCUAAUAUCAGGUCCUUGGAAACAAACCACUCCUGUGGAGCAAGGCGAGCGAUGGCAAAGGAAGCACAUUCCUCACAAACUCAAACAGAUGAUCUCCAAAAGACAAAAAGAUCCACACCAAGUAACAAAGAUCGUUCAUUCUCAGUAGUUGGGGAGUAGGAAUACAGAUAACAACAUCUCACCCUGAAACACAAGCAGGUGGAGGAGUGCUGUCCUCCUGCAGCUGCCAGAAUAGCACCAGGAUCACAGAGCAGGGCAGCACCAGGCAGUGCUGGGCUCCAGGGCCCACCAGCUUUCAGCUGAAGGAUGCUGCGGGAUCAGAAGCACUCACGGGCAUCCAGAGGAGCUGGCACAAAGCUUUCCACGUCCUCUGGAUGGAGCAGAGCAGGAUACCCAUUACCGCUCACGUUUUCCUUCCUUGGGAAGGGAAGGAGCAGCACAAGGAGAUUUUUCAAAGCAGUGAAAAUCAAAGAGGUUUUUCCUCACAUAAGAAAAAAUAAUAUAGGAAUGCUUGUUAUUUGAGACUGUUUAACAUCCAAAAGCUACAUUAUAUUGUAACUCAAUUUUGUAUAUAUUUUGACAGUCAUAUUCAUCAACCCUACAAUCAUUCUGAGGAAGCGUGCUGCUUAAAAUUAUGCGUGAGCAGAAAAAGGCAAGGUGGAUAUAUAGCUCACAGAAGGAUUUCACUGCCUACCCCCCAGCUGCUGCGGAGCAUUGACAUCUUUUCUCAGUGGUCUUCUCUCAGAGGGAUCCUUAAGGCACCAGAAUCUCUGCUCUCUGUUACCCCAGCUGAAACAGAGCUGAUGUACGAUCACACCAGUUCAGCUUCUGUAAGUGAGACCGACAUUUGGCUGCUGUUCUGGGGUGUGUUUGUCCAUUUGCUUGAUAAAGCACUGUGCACAUGCUGCUUCCUUCCACUGCACAUCCAAGUAGAGGCCCGGCUUUCAACAGAAGUAAUCAUACAGUACCAACUGCCAGGAAGGCCAUCUUCAAAGUCAGCAUAUAAUUCUCUGGAAACACACACUGCUAUAUAAGCAACAUAUAAAAAUAUAGUGGGACAUUUUUAGAUUCUUUGAAGAUUUAAUGUUAUGCAAGUAGGAAAACUGAGAAUAUUAUAGAGUUACAUGAGAUGCUGAAAAUGAUAUUUACCAGCAAGGUAAUGCAAUAUACCUCUAUUGUGACAUUCAAUAAUUAAAGAGAGGCCCCCAGCAGUGAAUUGGUGGGUGAUUAACUCAUGGCAGCACCAUCCUCAGCCACCAGAGAAGUGGCAGCGCCUGCAGAGGGGCACUGGCAGCUGUGUGCCACAUCCCCAGCCCGGCACCGAAGCACAGCUAGGGAGUGCUUUUGGCAGAACUGAUUUCUCCUUUCUCCGAAUGGAAAUUAACAGAAAAAUGGAGACUGGGCGGCCAUUUCCAGAGACAGGUUUUUUUUUUCCUGGUAGUAGCCUUAGGCUGACUUUCUGGAUUUAAGACAUCAUUCUGCCCCUAAUUCUGCAUAGGUACGAUGGUCUGUUCAGAUAGGAUCUGUAAUUCAGCUCCAGCAGAAAAAAAUAGAGGAAUUUGAAGUUUGGUCUUUAAUGAACAGAAGCCAACAGCUGACAAAUUAAGUACUUUGGAGAAGUGAAAAUUAAACAGUCCUGCAGACACGAGUGUUGGCAUAUGGAAAGCUGCCACUGAGCUAAUAAUAGAUGUGUCUACUGCAGCAGAGAGGGAGGUCCCCAUCGUCCCGGAGCACACCAUACAUCUGGGCACUGGGAAAACAGCCACGAGGCGGUGUCUGUUUGUUGCUUGUUACCUUCCUGCCAGCUAUUCAUCUGCUGCAACUGCUGGCUGAGGGCAGCCAUCCACAGGCAGUGACACUGCACUGCAACGGCACCGGGAUCAGUUCUGCCCACCAGCUCCCAAUUUAGCAGAUGAGUUUCCUGAAGCCACAGAAGCACAGGAGAGUCUUCCACUAGCACACUGCUUGCUGCAGUGCAACUGCUCUACAUAAUUCCCCCAAACUCAGCCAACAGAAUGCAGAAACGUGAGCGUGUGACAACAGCCAUUUCCUCACAUUACUUCAGGUAGCUGUAAAAGCACAAAACUACCUGUGGACUGGGUCUUCCUUACUUAUACCAGCCCAACCCCUCCAUCAUCUCUUUGUGUGCAGUAGAGUCAUGCUGCUGAAAAACAGGAGGAGAACCAGGGUCACUACAUGAAAGAUGGAAAAAAGCAUAGAGAAAUUACAAAUCAGAGAAGGAAAGUGAUUUACAGACAGGUGAUUAAGAAACUCAUCAACUGUAUUUUCGUAAGUAUUCUCUUGUUCAUUAAAGGGAGGAUACAAAUGAACAGGGUGGUGGAACUGCAGGCAGCCGGCAGCAGGGUAACUUAGCUCCAGUUAUUGCCAAAAACACUCCAAGCAAAGAGACCGAAGUACAUGAUGUGCUCCAGCAGCCAGCAGUAAGGAAGGCUGUGUGUACGUUGUACGGCAGUAGGAGGAGGAGCACACUCAUGUGAAACACGCCUCACCCUACAGACGCUCUCCUGGAGAUGACAGAUGAGGUUGAUUCACAGCACUCCUCCCAAAGAGUGUCCCUACACCCUGUAAUACAGAAAGCCAACAAGAGAUAAUGGGCACUAAAGAGCAGAAGUGAGAUAAAGCACUAAAGAGAAGAGAGAGAUAAGGUGCCAGAGAGGAGAUACGCGUGAGUGUGCGCACACAGAGGAACAAGCUCUAAUAUGAAGCAAGGGCAGCCUCUGCCAGUUUUAGCACUGAAUCACUACUUCUCUUCAUAGAGUACACAGCCCAUGAGCUUUUGGAGACUUCUGAGGUAACAAGCCAUGGGGCAAUUUUGGUUGCAUCACAGCUGAGUAAGCUGGAUAAUGAGAUGAGUGGAGAUGAGGCGACUCUGCUGACAUUAAGAACCCAUCGGUCCAGGAAAGGGAAGCUCCUGCACACCCGAACUGCUUUUCAGUCAAGCCUGAUGCUGUUGUCAUUAUGAUGGCAAAUACACAAAGGACUUUUAUUGUAGGUAUAUGCUCUGAAAAACCUGUGCCUCUGCCUGAGACUGUAGCAAGAAAAAGUAACCUUAAUAAGAGCCUGUAAGUUCUGUUAAUGUUUUGGUGCUUCCAAGUCAGUUCAGAAACUAAAAGGCUGUCUGAGAGUUCUGCAUCUUCUAGCUGCUUCCAGCAAGUAGUUGCUGUCUUUCACAUGGGUAAGUCCUCCAUUGGCAGAAUUCAGCUGGCCAUUUUAUCCUUACAGACUCCACCUACUGGCACUGUAUUGUCUACCACUAAAAUAUCACAUCUGGUUGGGUACCAUGAGCUUCACAGAGCUGAUAGCUGCAGCAGAUGAGCUUGCUGAUAGCCUUCCACGUGCCCCUGUGAGCUUGCCAGAGCAAAGAAUCUGACCCCAGCAGCGCUGGCUGCUGGGAACGUGACUGGGACAGAUUUCUUCAGCAUCAGCCAGGUUUUUCCAGGUCUGAUGAGGAAGGGGUGGCUCUCUGGCCUUGCACAAUGUACCACUACAGCAGCCACACUUGUCGCCAUCCAGAAGAACAGGAGAACAGUUCCAGAAGUCUGCUCUUUCCUCAGCACAGGGUGCUAGGCACAGCCGCAGAAAGGUUUUGGCACCAUGAAGGUGCCCUGGCCUCCCCUGGCUGCCACUCACACGACUACUCAGACCUGCGCCUCAUCUCCCUUUGCUUACUUUAUAUCCUUCUCCACUGCUGAGCCCUUUGGUCCCUUUGUGCCCUCCUGGCUUGAACAGGGCACGAUAUGGGCACAGCAUGAGGAACCCGAGACAGGCAGAGGAGUGCAAGAGGUCCCAUGUGCUGCACCCCUGGGAAGGUGACACUUCUCCAUGCAGAGCAAUGGCACUGACACCACACAGAGCAGCAGUCCUUGAGUUAAAAUAGCAGCAACACUGACAGUACUCACAGGUCCCAGAAAGGAAAGGUGAUGCAGAAUUGUCUUGUUCACAUUUUCCAUACUGGGAACCAGCACAAACGUUGUCUGCUUCAAUCAUCCUCUGCAAUAUGUGAUACUCUGCCUCAAGAUUACACAAAUAAAAAAAAAAUACCCACAGUACUCCAUUUGUUUUCUCCAGGAAGAGCUCAAAACGCAACAAAAUCCAGCCCCUCUGUAUUGUUCUUCACAAGCUCCAAAGUGUUCAGCUGCUCAAGAUAUAUCACAUUACAGCCCAGGGAUGUACCCAUCCUCUGAGUAAGGAGGGCCAUCACCCCACAGCCAGCUGCUGCAGGACACGUGCUCUGUGCAUCUCAGGGCCAGCAGAGCUCCCAGCCAGCCCUGGCUUCUCUCAUAUUCACAUCAAACUACAGCUCAGAUCAGGGACAAAAUAUAUUUUCAGAGCUUUGAGAAAAAUAGGGUUUUUGUUUGUCCUCCCCCCCUCUCUUUCUUCAAAAUGACUCACAUCCUGUAAUAAUGAGCAAAGGACACCAACUGCAAUCUCUUUGUGAGAAGUAGCCUCAAGAAAUCUUACGGUGUUUUAGACAUUCAAAAUAAAAAACUGAUGAUUUCACAGCGUUAGUCAGCAAUAACUUCAGGAAGGCGUAUUGGAAGUCAAACAAAUCCUAAAGGUGUUGAUCUGAUUGGGAAUCUGACAGUUCCACAUCUUGCGGCAGAAAGCUGAAAACAACAGAAGGACACAGCAACAAAACACACACGAGAGUAAGAUCCAGUGGAAAAAAAGAUCUGACUUAGUAAAAACAAGACAGGAUACAGCAUCGGCCUUGUCCUAAAGAGAGAUUUCUUUGGCUUUUCCUAGUUUCUGAGGGCAAAAAGUGUGUUUUUCUUCCUUUCCGAGGGGCUGGAUUGAGGCUGUGCUGCUGGUGGGAAGAGCAGGUAGGGCAGAUGGCCGCGGGACCCCCACUCUGGGAUCUCCUCUCCCUGCUACUGCAUGGUUUGAGCGUGGCUUCAGAGCUGUGGAGGACUGAAACACUCAGUGCCCUCCUGGGCCCACGAUGUGCAGCUGUCCCAGGCAUGAGCUCAGCGGUGCAGAGGAGACAGCAGCAAAUUCUCUCUCUCUCUUUCUCCAUGAUCAGCCCAGCAAAGAACAAGAUAACUUGCUGUUCGCACUACUUUUGGUUCAUUUGGCUGCAUUCUAGAACAGACACAAUUAGGCAGAUUUUUAAAUGAACAAAUUGUUUAGGUUUCUCAUUAAAGUUGGUUCAACAAGAUUGCUUCAGUGACUGAAAAGCCAGCACUGGGGGUCUUACAGACCUGCACUGGGCUGAACUGCAGCAGUUUGCCUGCUGGCUGCAUGCAAGGCUCUUCUGGGGAAAACAGCACCCACAGUAACAAGCUCUUAGGCCACGACAGGACGAACUGCAGUUUCCUGUAAUGUAACAGCUGCUCCGGAUUUCUUCCUAAUCUGCAUUGCACGCAGCAUAGAGAUUUCAGUAGCCAUGAUCUUACUUCGGUGCAGAACAUGAUUUCCUUUCACACACACACGAGGUCCCUGGAGCCAAUUUGCACAGUGCCCAGAGGCCCCAGCACGGACUCCCAGCUGCAGAGGUCUGCUCCUGCCCUCCAUGUCUUCUGUGUAUGCCUGCAGUGCACAGCUGCCCCUGACAGGCAUGUGCAUCAGCAGUUUGGAAACAAAAUAAAGGAUGGGGAACAUGCCUGUCCUGGCUCCAUCCAUUAUGUGGCUCCAUCAUUACAAGAAUCAACAAGCUUUCUGUCCUGCUCCACACAGCGUUAAAGCAAAUGCAAUGAACCUAAACUUGUCAGUAACCACAAAUGCACCUAAUCCACCAAAAAACAGGGAGCUGAGCCUGCAGGACAAGCUGCUCUCAGAAGUCCCAAGUCUGGAGACAGAGGAAAAUGCAGAGCACCACUUCUAGAAUAUUUUGUGUGGUAGGAGACCAUGUAAUCAGUGUACCAGAGUCAGAUGAGUACAGAAUCAGCAUUAGAAGCUGAAUCAUUUCCAGGAUAGGAGAGAUUUAUCCUAUACUGCUCCCUAUUAAAGUCUUACACAGUGUACUACCUACUCAGUAAACCCAAGAAAUUAAUUGACUCUGGCACAAAUGAACAGAUGAUAAAGAAGAUCCAAUAAGAAGACUUGGGAGAUAAAAACCUCUUUGUAUCUCCAUCGUGGGAGCUGGACCAAGGAUGAGGUUGGGCCCUGCCCUGCACAGCGUGCGCUUUCCAUCACUGCCGCAGCCUCUUUCUUGCCUGGAUACACCACACUCCUCGGGGUGAAUCAGGGCUCCCUCACAUCAUGCAAGAGCCAGCAAAGAGCAUACGAGCCUGAAGCCACAAGUCUGAAGCUACUGAACACAUGACAAUAUAAAGCAAGUCUGAAGCUUAAAGCAUGGGUUUUAGGAGCUAAACAGUUGUGCCCAGCACUGUGAUCUGUCGUUACUCUGCUGUUGUUGGUCCACCAGAGCUUAAAAUAGGCUGAGCAACAAGAUAAACAACUGUAAAAAUCCCAGGCUGCUGCCAGCAGAUACUUGGGAGGCCGCAGCAUCACACGGUUUCGCUUCACUUCCAGUUACUGCAUUAUUUGUAGAAGUCUCCAUUAUAAUUCAGGAACACACUGAACCCAAGUGUUGAUGCAGCCAGAGAAAAACUUCAUGCUGCAGAAGAAUCCACACACCGCAUGCAAUGCUGCAUCAGCCCAGCUCCAGUGCUGCAGGCAGAGCAUGCAUGAGAUCAUGGUCUACAACCUUCCCAGAUUCUCCGAAUUCACCCUGUCGAGGGCAGGUAGUUCUCAUGCUUCAGCUGCUGCCGUCACAGGCUUUGUUAGUGCUGGAGGCUGAGGCUUUGUAAGGAGCCACGGGAGUUCAGGACAUUCUGUUCAGAACGCCAAAGGCGCUGAAUAACCACUUACAUUUGCAUGUGCCUAAACAUAGCCUAAACAAACUGCAAAUAGCAGGAAUAGGGUUAGCACUGAGAAGCACAACUAAAAGCAACGAAUACCCAUUAAUGAUUUGGUACUUUUCCAGAAAGGCUAGAACACAGACUAUCAAAAAGAAUACGUGAAGUGGUAUUUUUGUACAGACAAUGGAGGAAACAACAAACAAAAAGCCCACAGUCACAAAGGGUAAAGAUUUGAGAUGUUUGCUGCAAACUUCAAAGCGUAGUUUUAACCAGUCAGUAUGCUUUAUGAGAUUAUCCCAAGAUAAGAUAAUCUGUUAAGCACUGUUUCUGGAGUUCUGACUAUUUGCUAGACAUGCACAAUCUCUUUGCUGCCUGAGCUCAAACGCUUUUCUCUGCUGCAGCAGCGGCAGCUCACAAAGAGGCAGCCAGCUUACAGCAGAGCCUCUGCAUUAUGAAUCACACCAUGUGCAGCAGAAGGCAGGCUGCAGUGCUCAGGGUGGGCUACAGAGAGCCAGAAGACCCGGGGUGCUCCUCCUGGUGCUGCCCAUGGUUUGACAGACGAUCGUCAGAGCGGCCCUCAUCGCAUACAUCUGUUUCUCAGCUUCCAUAUGCUAAGCAUCAGCAGUACAGCAGAACACCCCAGGGGUUGCUCACCUUAAGAAGUCAAAGAAGGGGAGAAUGAGAACAUCUGAAAAGGAAAGGAAAUAAUUUGGCGCAUCAUGAGGCAUUUACAUUUCUGAUUUCAGAGGCAAUUCAGGCUGCACUUUAGAACACAGGCUCUGACCCAUGUAACAGAAGAGAAGGGAAACGUUAAAAAUGUAACAGCACUCCUUACAAUUAUUUCAAACCACCCCCCCCGAGCGUCUGGUAAGGCAGGCUGUAGUUACUGCAGUGAGGCUCAUGAAGCGUCUGGAUGCUGUGAGCACUGCUGCCUCUGCUAUACCUGACCAGAUUCACCCUCAGAGCCUCCCUGAGCAAGGGAAGUAGGGCACUGAGUGCGGUUCAUUGCAGAGAUGGCUGCAGAAGAAUAUUCCCAUAGUUAAAGAUAGUCCGUGUCAGUGGAUCCGGUGAUGCACGCAGUGAUUUUUAAAGAAGCCCCGCCCGGUAACAGCGCAGGAUGCAGCCUACCGGCGGCACAGAGGAAUUCCCCCUCGGAGCCGAUUCGGCACAGGCAGCGCUGCAGAGCAGCAGGCAGCACUCUGCCGGCCGGGAUGCGUCGACACCAGAGGAGCUCCCGACAGUCUCCAGCUGCAGCAGACAGCGUGUCGUGCAGCCCGGCCCCCCAGCCUCCCCGUCAGCCUGUAAUCAGCUGCACUGUACAUGUGCACCAGCCUCGAGAACAUAGCAACAGGUGUACUUUGAAACCUGAAAGGUCCUUAGUUCAUUUAAGCCCUUGGCAGGAAGCCACAGCAGAAGGUCCAUUAGCACAGCUGUUGAAGCAGAGGGACUUACAAUGGCCACACCUGUUCCAUCACCACUGAACACCCACAAUGCUCCUCACUCCCACUUUCUGCCCAGUACACAGUGUGACAGACCCUGAGCAGCACAAAAUCCAAGUACAGCUCCAAAUGACUUCAGAAGCAUUAGCUCCACAUUGUGGCAGGAUUUCUUCCUGCUGUGACAGAAGGCUCUGCCGAACACACCACAAGACCGUAUCCGCUGUAGAUUCCAGUAGGGAGCAUUCACUUACUCUUCUCGGCAGGAUGGAAGAGACAUUCCCAUUUUACAGACAGAAAAAGAAGCCCCUCAUGAUGGCAAGGAUUUAAACGAGCAUUUUCUCAGUCAAAAGAUAGGCUUUUUAAAAAUUAUUUUUAAAGCUAAGGAUCGCUUGUGUUUUUUCUGUAAGAAAGUGAGAUGAGGACUUGAACCUUUCUGAGUGGAACUACUCAGUCCUGACCACCACGUGCCAAUCCCGUUCGGCUUUGCUACUUCUCCCAUUUAUAGAAGCUUCCUUGAUAAGCAUUUCAUCCAAGCCACUGGUAACUGCAGUCUGAUGUCAGAGGCUUGAGUUCUGUCUUUUAGGUAGAUCUAAUGGAUUUCAACCUCUCCACUGCAGUCAGAAGCAGGAUUUUUUCCUAGGAAAAAUCCAUUGCCACUGAGCUAGAUCUUUUAUUCUUCUUCAUAUAAAUAUAUAUAUAUUUAAGUUCAGAUUCAUGAACAAAGAUUGAAAUGAGCAAACCGUUUGUAUCAAGAAGAGAGAAAACCCUAUUUCUCAUUCUUCAGCAGCCGUUCCUGACAUGUCAUUUCGCAGAUGAAAAGGCUUUUUAUGUAGAACCUGAUACAGAGACUGAAAUGACUCGCAGAGCAUUCCAUUAAAAGGAAAACAUCCCACAGUACAGCAGUUGUGUACAUUUCUCUUGCUGUGGAACAAAACAGCAGUUUUUACUGCUAUGAUCUCCAAAUCCAACAGUAUUAUGUAUUUUAUCAAUGUACGAAUACUGAUGGGGGAAGAGAACAGAGCUCUUCUCCAUGGUGUCCAGUGACAGGGCAACAUGCAAUGGGCACGUACUGAAGCACGAGUAAAUCUGUUGAAGUAUAAGAGGAAAAUCUUUUUGCUGUGGGGCUGAUCAGACACCAGGACAGGUUACGCAGGGACGCCGAGUAAUCUUCAUGCUCAGGAGAUAUUCAGCAGCGACCGACAGUGUCCUGCCUAACUUGCUCUCAUUGCCCCACUUUGAAGAAUUCACUAGGUGACCUGCAGAGGUCCCUUCCAACCUCAGCUAUCCUUUAAUUGUGAGUAAUGAGAAGAAUGUGAUUUGCUUAGUCUAGAAAGGGAAAGCUGGAGGUAGGCAUAAUGGAUCCCUUUGAAGCAGACAGAUCUCUACGUGUACUGACCAAGACAGAUGAAGCAGUAACAGGCUAGCUGUAGGGAAAGAAUGGCACAUAUUUAUGUUCCACAGGUAGGAGUAUUUAAGUGCUGGAAUAGCCCAUGGAAUCUUAGCAGCAAACUUAAAAAGGAAAACACGUGAAGAGCCAUUGGGAAUGGCCUAGGUGUUAUCAAUUUUGCUUCAGAGAAUCUGAAUAUUCUACUGCUUGGAUCAGCACUUUCCAAGCACAAAAUAGGCAGCUUCAGCAUUUGUGCCUUCAGUGAGUGAAGUCACCACCACGGCAAGGAGGACACAGCAGGCAGGAAGAAGGAUCUUUGGACAAAGGUUCUCAAAGAAGGAAGGUGCACAAAGACAGAUGGAGAGCUGCAGGAGCCAGAGGGCGUAAUCAUCGUGUCUUAUCAUCAUCAGACCAGAAACCAAGAUGACAGCGCUCCUUAGAGUGACGGGAAAGAAAAGCCUCCAUUAAAUUGGGUAACUGGGGAGAAAAAAGCCUCCAAGUUUAUUCCUGCCAGCAAACUAGCUUCUCUAUGUCCUGUAGCACACACAGAGUACACCAGUCCUAGACAGGAGAAAAUGUCAACAUUUUUUCUGUGAUCCCACGAGAAAAGACUUUAUGUUGUAGGAAGGCUUUGUAAUUGCAAAGAAAGCUCAAUGGAAGAGACAGGGAAGAAAGGAAAUCUGAUGUCAAGACUCUGAUGAAUUUAACUUGUUAGUAUAAAUGUACAUACUGCACAUUUAAGCAGAAAUCCAAUAUCCUAAAAAUAUCCCCAGUACAGCCUGAGAACAGAAGAUUGUUGCCUUGCUAAACACCAGCCUCACUCCAGCUGAUUCUUGCGUUUUCACAGUAUUGCAAGUUAUGAACUCCUUCAAACUCUGGAAUACACCAUCAGGAAAAAAAAAAGAACAAAACCGAGAACAGUUUAAUUAUCUGAAAGUCAAAUCUGCAAAGGAACAGCCUACCUGACACCAGCACUGACACAGCAUUCAUACAUUCCACCACUGCUCACUCGGAUGUUUCCCUAAAAUGUUCAUUUAUUUUAGUGUACAUUUACUUUAAUAAAUGGAUAUUCAAUACAUGAAUUGGUGUUUCUGAAGACACCUUUUUUUUUUUUUUCUCUGUAAAACAAUUGAGAAAUUCAGACUAGCAUCUCCUCAUGAGUAUCUU